AUUUAUUAUGAAUCCCCUGGAUGUCUUCCCUCAGGGCCUGGAGUUCCCCAGUGAUGGACUUAUGGAGGGCGGCAUUAGCCUCCUUCAGGUCAGUCUUAGUGGGUAGGUUCUGUAUUAGUGAUACCCAGUCCAGCUGGGUUAGGGGGGUGUCUGUCGGAUGGUGUACCUGUUCAAGGCCGUGCUGUCCGUCCUUGGGUGAGGUCGGGCGGGUCAGGCCCGAGG
This is a non-coding RNA of Pelobates cultripes (western spadefoot toad), 222 nucleotides long. NCBI's taxonomy places the organism in Eukaryota, Metazoa, Chordata, Amphibia, Anura, Pelobatidae. The record is from the annotation of a GenBank genome assembly.